RNAcentral lists this ribosomal RNA (647 nucleotides) under uncultured bacterium. RNAcentral's name for it is "bacterial SSU rRNA". The stretch from base 1 to 561 matches the Rfam family "Bacterial small subunit ribosomal RNA", at positions 9 to 546 of the family's 1533-position model. The record is from RNAcentral.
GAGUUUGAUCCUGGCUCAGAGCGAACGCUGGCGGCGUGCCUAACACAUGCAAGUCGAGCGAGAAAGCCCUUUCGGGGGUGAGUAGAGCGGCGAACGGGUGAGUAACACGUGGGUAACCUGCCUUCGAGAGGGGGAUAACCAUUCGAAAGGGUGGCUAAUACCCCAUAAGACCACAUUUCCCACGGGAAGAGGGGUAAAAGGUGGCAGAAACUUAGUUUCUGUUGUCGCUUGAAGAUGGGCCCGCGUACCAUUAGCUUGUUGGUGAGGUAAGGGCUCACCAAGGCUACGAUGGUUAGCUGGUCUGAGAGGAUGAUCAGCCACACUGGGACUGAAACACGGCCCAGACUCCUACGGGAGGCAGCAGUGAGGAAUUUUGCGCAAUGGGGGAAACCCUGACGCAGCGACGCCGCGUGGGUGAAGAAGGCUUUCGGGUCGUAAAACCCUGUCAGGUGGGACGAAUACUUUCAGCCCAUAAAGCUGGAAGUUUGACGGUACCACCAGAGGAAGCACCGGCUAACUCCGUGCCAGCAGCCGCGGUAAUUCAGAGUUUGAUCCUGGCUCAGGUGAAAAAAAUUCUCAAUGAUUUGGACACCUUCCUCACGGAAAACGACGAUUUCGAAACCCAAGAGAGCUAUACCAUCACUACG